UACGUAGGGUGCAAGCGUUAUCCGGAUUUACUGGGCGUAAAGCGUCCGUAGGCGGUAUGGUAAGUGGUGGGUUAAAGACUCUGGCUCAACUAGAGGAAAGCUCGCCAAACUGCCAAACUAGAGCUAGUUCGGGGAUACUGGAAUUCUCGGUGGAGGGGUGAAAUCCGUUGAUAUCGAGAAGAACGCCAAAGACGAAGGUAAGUAUCUAGAACUAUGCUGACGCUCAGGGACGAAAGCUAGGGUAGCAAACUGGAUUAGAGACCCAGGUAGUCCUAGCCGUAAACUAUGAACACUAGCUGGUUGGAUGAAUUUCUGACCGGCGCAAGCUAACGCGUUAAGUGUUCCGCCUGGGGAGUACGGCCGCAAGGCUAAAACUCAAAGGAAUUGACGGGGAAACGCACAACCGGCGUCCCAUGUGGUUUAAUUCGAAACGAAACGAAGAACCUUACCUAGGUUUGACAUCCCGAUCGUACGUCUUGGAAACAAGAUGGUCAGUUCGGCUGGAUCGGUGACAGCUGCUGCAUGGUU
RNAcentral lists this ribosomal RNA (528 nucleotides) under uncultured bacterium. RNAcentral describes it as "bacterial SSU rRNA". It matches the Rfam family "Bacterial small subunit ribosomal RNA", at positions 524 to 1050 of the family's 1533-position model. The record is from RNAcentral.